This is a non-coding RNA of Oryza sativa Japonica Group (Japanese rice), 398 nucleotides long. The record is from RefSeq and is a predicted model, not a curated record. NCBI's taxonomy places the organism in Eukaryota, Viridiplantae, Streptophyta, Magnoliopsida, Poales, Poaceae.
AACGUUAUUAUUAUGAUGGAUUUGUAUAUUAAAUUGUCAGUUUGUGUACCUCGGCUGAUUCCUGGACGAGGAUUUUAUGCACAAAUAAGUUCGGAAAUUACUAGUGAAUUUCCGGGCGUGACAUGCACGGUGAGUUCGAUGACGAUGAAGUUCCAAAGCGUGGUGGAUCUGUCUUAGGUCAUGCAGUAAUUAAUCGGGAAAGAUUGGCUGGUCAAGAUUGUAUAAUGAUUAUUUUUCCGAAGAACCUACGUACCUCGAUGUUCAGUUUAGACGCAGGUUUAGAAUGAGGCGACCUCUCUUUUUACGCAUAAUGAAUGCUAUUGAAGCACAUGAUGAAUAUUUUGUGCAGAAGAGAAAUGCGGCUGGUAUCCUUGGACUGUCAUGUUUGCAAAAGGUAA